ACGGGAGGCAGCAGUGGGGAAUAUUGCACAAUGGGGGGAACCCUGAUGUAGCAACGCCACGUGUGGGAAGAAGCAUUUCGGUGUGUAAACCACUGUCGUGAGGGAAUAAUGCUUGGUCUCGGCCAAGUUGAAUGUACCUCGAAAGGAAGCACCGGCAAACUUCGUGCCAGCAGCCGCGGUAAUACGAGGGGGGCAAGCGUUGUUCGGAAUCACUGGGCGUAAAGGGAGCGUAGGCGGAGACGCAAGCAGUCUGUACAAUACCGGGGCCCAACCCCGGCCCUGCAGACUGGACUGUGUCUCUUGGAUAGUGCAGGGGCAGGCGGAAUUCCUGGUGUAGCGGUGGAAUGCGUAGAGAUCAGGAAGAACACCGAUGGCGAAGGCAGCCUGCUGAGGACUCAUCGACGCUGAGGCUCGAAAGUGCGGGUAGCAAACAGGAUUAGAUACCCUGGUA
RNAcentral lists this ribosomal RNA (451 nucleotides) under uncultured Fibrobacter sp. RNAcentral's name for it is "partial 16S ribosomal RNA". It matches the Rfam family "Bacterial small subunit ribosomal RNA", at positions 341 to 792 of the family's 1533-position model. Lineage: Bacteria; Pseudomonadati; Fibrobacterota; Fibrobacteria; Fibrobacterales; Fibrobacteraceae. The record is from RNAcentral.